RNAcentral lists this ribosomal RNA (413 nucleotides) under bacterium enrichment culture clone ALO1_GLFRUDD03FTTG7. Its description in RNAcentral is "bacterial SSU rRNA". It matches the Rfam family "Bacterial small subunit ribosomal RNA", at positions 9 to 421 of the family's 1533-position model. The record is from RNAcentral.
GAGUUUGAUCGUGGCUCAGAUUGAACGCUGGCGGCAUGCCUUACACAUGCAAGUCGAACGGCAGCACGGGAGCUUGCUCCUGGUGGCGAGUGGCGAACGGGUGAGUAAUGCAUCGGAACGUAUCCUGGAGUGGGGGAUAACGUAGCGAAAGUUACGCUAAUACCGCAUAUUCUGUGAGCAGGAAAGCGGGGGACCUUCGGGCCUCGCGCUCUUGGAGCGGCCGAUGUCGGAUUAGCUAGUUGGUGAGGUAAAGGCUCACCAAGGCGACGAUCCGUAGCAGGUCUGAGAGGAUGAUCUGCCACACUGGAACUGAGACACGGUCCAGACUCCUACGGGAGGCAGGCAGUGGGGAAUUUUGGACAAUGGGGGCAACCCUGAUCCAGCCAUGCCGCGUGAGUGAAGAAGGCCUUCGG